This 24-nucleotide transfer RNA is filed under the name Klebsiella pneumoniae BIDMC 23. RNAcentral describes it as "tRNA-Val". Lineage: Bacteria; Pseudomonadati; Pseudomonadota; Gammaproteobacteria; Enterobacterales; Enterobacteriaceae. The record is from RNAcentral.
GCGAAGCCGAGUCAUCCUGCACGA